Molecule: ribosomal RNA, 119 nt
Filed under: Schistosoma mansoni
Lineage: Eukaryota; Metazoa; Platyhelminthes; Trematoda; Strigeidida; Schistosomatidae
Source: RNAcentral
CGUAGCGAUAAUAACACGAUGAAAGCACCGGUUCCCGUCCGAACAUUGCAGUUAAGCAACGCUGGGCCCGGUCAUUACUUGCAUGGGUGACCGGCUGGGAAUGCCAGGUGUCGCUGGCU